AGUGCGGCGGCGGGCGCCGGCCCCGGCGCCGUGGGCGGGACGAGGCCGCGGCUGAACUACGACUCCCGGCAUGCCCCGCGCCGCCGCGGCCAGGCGGCGUCGGCGCACUGCGCUCCCCGGAGACGGCUGAGCGUUUCGGCGGCCGCCGGGAACUUGCCGACUCUUAACGUCGCGGGAGCGGAGAGACCGCCACCCGGCUCGGCGCCUCCGGCGCGGAGACCGCGCGAGCCCCGCUACCGCGGCCGCCGCGCACAGGGCCGCAAGGAACGGGGCGCCGAGCGACGCGGUGCGGCAACUUGUUUAUCUCGGCAGCUGCCACUCAACGCUCGGCUCCACCCCCCGCGCGAUGCCGCCCCCUGAUUGGCCACCACGGCCCCGCCCCCGCGGCCCCGCAGCGGCUCCCGCCGCCGAGCCCGGCCCGGGCCGCGGGCGUUGUGCUGCGGGGCGGGGCCCGGCGCCUCCAGCCCCGAGCUCCGGGGGAGGCCGCUGGUUGGGCAGCGGCGGGGACCGCGAGCGGGCGGGGCGAGGCGCGGCGCGGCCGGGGCUGCGACGGGGUUUGGCACGGAGAGAGUCGGAGAUCGGUGUUUGAAGCGCGGAUUUUCCACGGUCGUUCUUUAUACCAAGAAUCACACGGACGGUGUUCAGCGUUCACCUGAGAAUGCUGACUCCGUCCUGUCCGUCGGUGGGGCCUGGUGGUUAGAUGCCCUCACACCAAGCCUUGUCCCUUCAGCCCUAAGCGUUGGAGAUGUUUAGACGGAUGUGAUGAUGCUGACGGGUUCACCUGUACAGAUACAGAUACACAGUGAGGCCUUUUAAAAUUACAUUCCAACCAAUCGCUCCGUGAUUUCUUUGUGCCAAACUGUGCUCCCCACAAGCUCGCAGCGCUGCAGAAGCGCUCCAGGGACACAACCUCAGCCCAAGGCUAUGCCGCGACAGGAGCAGUGACAGCCCUGCCUGCUCCGCCUCACCUCAUGGCAACGAGCGGCACCGGGCAAAGUCAGAGGAGAAAGGCGGGAAAAGCACCGCCCGCCCAGCAGCUACCUGCAGUGCUGGCGGGGGGAGCGGGCCGGCUGCUGUGCCCCGUGACAGAGCUGUGGGAGGGCCCCCCCGACAGAGCAUGAUCCGUCACGGUUCCUGACCCAUAGGCUGUACCCAAGCAGGAGUACGGCCGUGCGACAUGGUCAGCUCUUCCAGAAGGCCCCCUGUGCACGUCUCUGACCACCAGAGCUCUCACAGAAGGACGGCUCCUUUACCAACAUAGUGUUUCCCACAGAACCACAAGUACUGUUAGGUUUUUUUUUUUUCUGCAGCUGCAGAUACGGAUCUUCCUGAACAACGCUCAAUCGCGAGCUGGCAAUCUUCCUAAAUGCCGUAGUGACCAUUUAUCUUUCAACGUCAGCGUUACAGACGUUUGCUAAAAUUAGAGCUAACCAUCUACCUUUUGCAAAGCACUCACAUCUUUAGUCACCUAGUCAUCAAAUCCAGCACUGAAAAGAGGGGACAUAGGCUCGCAAAGACAAACGUGUCGCUGCCUCAGAGGGGUGUACUGUUGGUAAAAAUAAACUCCACAAGUUCCUGUUGCUCACUUUGACCAAAAUAAUAAUUGUUUUUUCCCAUUCUCGUCACGGAUGCUGUUGUUUUCUGCAUGACAGGUCUGAUUUUCCUGUAAUUUGCUGUGUGUCAGCAGCCCUGGUUGGAGAGGGUGACAGUGCACCAGGUAUGGAGGCUCAGCCUGGCUGGCAGCUGUGAGCCUAGGCAGAUCAGUUCCUCUCCACCCCACAGCACACCCAGCUCCUCAGUGUUGCAAAUGGCUGUUUUAUCCUUCCAUAAACUGAUCGUGCUCUGGCAGUAAACACUUUGCCCCUCACUGCUGCUGCUGGGAGGCUGUCCGACAGAAACCUUUCUCACGGGGAAGCCUUUUUUUAACCUUCAAACCUGCAUUUCCUUGAGACUUGUCUACAUCCAUCUUCCCAUGGAAAUACUGCCCUAAAGUAGCCUUUCUUUCCCUCCUGUGUGUAUCCCCUGCCAGAAUUAUUUAUAGACAGCAAUCUCAUCCCCUCGCACCCUUUAUUUUGCUGGACUCAACAAGCCAUGCCCUUCUCAUUCCCCUAAUUAGCUCCCUACUCUCCCUUCUUUUGAUCAUCUUAUGAUAUUUGCAAAUCCCGUAAAGGAGAAUUUUUGUAUAACAUCUCAAGUAGCAAAUGUGCCAUUACUCCUUAAAUGUAUGAUUCAUUUAAAUCAUAGAUGACUUUAUGAAUUCACAGUUAAAUAAAAUACUUUUUUUUUUUUUUCAUUGAACAGUUCAUUUUCACUUACUUUGCCCUUGGGAGGUUUGUGACUGUUUAAUAAUAACACAUAAUGGGACCCUCUCUGAUCACUGUAGCAAAAAUGGAGGUUUGGCUGAUACCAAGCUAGUUAUGUGAAUAGCAAAAUGUUAUCGGUGCUCCUGUUCCUUCUCUCAUGAAAGGUAGCCUUGCUUUCAAUUUUUUAAGCCUUACAUUGACCACAGAAUCAGCUAAGCAGAUCCAAGUUUAGGCCAGCUCAGAGUCCAGUAAGAACAAGAUUACCUUCUCAUUUGAAGACUGCAGAAGUUUCAUCAAUUUGCGGCUAGAACGUGAGGAUAAGCACAUUUGUUUCAUCUUGCAAUUGGAGCACAUAGCAGGAUUCUGCUUCAAAUUCUUAUUGUAUUUUUUCCUACUUGGAGAAUCUCUGAUUUCUGAACUGCCCUUUGGCAGCAAUCCUUUUCUGAGAGAUUGCAUUCCUGUGCAAACGGCUGCUUCUUCAGAAGGGUUUCCUACCAUUCUUGAAUAUUGUAUUAUUGUGUUAUCCAUGUCUGUUCAGAACAGAAAUUAAUGUAAUUUUUUAGAUACGUAAUGCCCUAUCCUUUGCUAACUGUGCUGAUAAAGAAAUUCUGAAAAGUACCACCAAAGAAAAUAGAAAAUGACAGGUUUGCAAGCUUCUAGGGUGAUGUUUCUCAGACUGACAGCCUAACUGGAGAUGAGGGGUUGUUGCUCGUUAACAUCACCAUUUCUCCACAAGUUUUGAUGGUUACAUAGUGUCCAGACUAUAGGAAAGGAAAAGUGUUUCAAGCAAGACUGAAAGUUGAGGAACCGAAUAUUCUCACCAAUUCUCUAUUCUAAUUCUCCUAGAGAGAUAAAGCAUGAAUUCCUAGUGAAAAUAAGGAUUUGGUCUUUUAACAUUUUCACAUCAAGAAAUGGCACAGACCAUUUUUUUUUUCUUUCCUUUGCACAUAAAAUACAGUGUUUAAUUUUCUUUCCAGCCUGUCUUCACUUCACUUCCUGUCUUGAUAAGUUGUAUGCUCUGCCUUAGCCAAUCUCUUACUCUUUUCUCUUUGAGUAUUGGUGAGAUCAAAAAAAAAUAGUGUUUGUUUUCUGUGAAUGUUUUAGGCCACAUCUGGAAGAAGUUGCACCACUCUCCUUGAAAGUCUUUACUUGUUAAUGCAGUGGGAAAUAUUGGAUUCUUAGGGAUCAGAGACAGCAUAUGUCCAGUAGAUCUUGAGUGGGGCAUUAAUAAACCUAUACAGCGUUUACUUACAUCUGUCACAUUUGAGUUGAUGGUGCUUCUCACACAUCUCAGAAGUCCAAGGAAAUUUGAGAAAAUUCAGAAUAGCAGUCUCACACGAACUGCACUGCUAUCUCUACAGAAGCAGAGCAAAACUCAUAGUUCUGUUCCAAAAAGUGUAGGCACUUACUAGGAAUUUUUAAACACAUCAGUAUGAGGGCUUCAUGAAAGUGGGCAGCGCAUCAGAUGAUUUGUAAUCCAUGUAGCUGGGAACGUCUUUACCUGGCUGUAAGUUCAGACAUUUUCAUUCUAGGUAAAGCUCUACAUUUUGGAACCUUUUCUGUUGGUUAACUUCAAAACACCUAUAAUAGAUGUAUGAACUUUAUUAACUUAGAAAAUGAAGUACCUAAUUAAGGUGCACUAUCAAGAUUUUACAAUAAAUCUAGAGAGCAUGCUAGGAAUGGAAGAUGGGAGUCCUGAAUUCUGCUACCAUUAUAUAAUUAAUUGGCUAGCUCUAUGUUUUUAAAAUUCAUUUUUUUACAGUACCACAAUCCAAAUACUACUAAAAUAGAAACCGUGUGCUGCUUUUCUUGAAUAUAAUCCAAGAAACUGGUCUCAAAAUAGGCAGUACUUCUUUUAACCAUCGUUGAAUUCUUCCUGAGAAAAAGAAAACUCUCACCAAAGUCACAAAACCCAUCCCCUACCUUCUCUUUGCAGACUAAAUCCAGCAAAGUAAAAGCAAAAUAAUUCCUCACUGCAUGAUGUGCCACAGUUCGUCGUUGUACAAUUACAACCCAGCCUUACCACUGACCUACCAGCGUUGUCACAAGUACAGGAGUCCAGAGGAAACUACCAGCUCAAGAAGGCGUUGCUACUCAGCCUGCUAGGAACUGCGAAGAUGCUGUGGUAUGAGAAACCAGCAAUGUGAGAGCUGAUUCCAUCCUGCCUGUGAGUGAUUUUGAGCUUUGUGAAGCUGUGGUGGAACUAUUCUAAGGAAAACCAGAGAACUCCUACGUUGAGAGCCCCGAUCUGUUACUGAAGUUCUGUUUUCCUUUCUUCCUCUCUAAUUUUAUUAUUACUAACUCCAUUCGUGCCUCAGUGGCAAAAUCCUAAAUUAUCUGUGUGCCAGAGCUGUAUUUACAGCCAAAUAGGAAAUGACAGAAUUGGCUGCUGGCUCACUACACUGAAAAAGUUGAGCAACUCUGAAUUUUAAAAGAAAUCCAGAUGGUCUCAUGAGAGCAGGAGCCAGGAGUGCCAUUGCCAUGCGUUCUUUCAUUUCGGUGGGGAUCGGAUUCUCUGUCUGCAACACAAGGCAGUGUAUUUCUCCAUCAUUAGGAAAACUUUUGGAUUAAAGUGUUACUCAAACUAACACUUAGCUUUACUAGCUGUGUCCAUCCACCAGUAAAUAAUUCCUAUCUGCCUGAAGAAAAAAAAAAAAACCACUGACCAAAAUCUUUUUACAAAAUUAAGACAAUCAAACACAUUGAGCUCAUGCACUGAGACUGAAGUACUUUCAAUGGCCUUAGUGAUGUUUAUUUAACAUAUAAAGCACGUUGGUUCCCUGUAUCCCAUGAGAGCGUCUGGCCGGGGUGGAGUCAGUUUUCUUCAUUGCAGCCCACCCAGUGCUGUGCUUCAGAUUUGUGAUGAAAACAGCCUGAUAACAAAGUUAGUUCUUGCUGAGCAGUGCUAGCACAGCAUCAAGGCAUCCUCUGUUUCCUACUCUGCCCCCACUGUGAGUGGGCUGAUCCAAAGCAUCCAAAGAGAUACUCCAUACUGAAUAGUAUUGUGAUCGGCACUGUAAAACUGAGGGGGAAGUUUUUGCAAAGUAGGCAUUGGUCAGACUCUCUGGGCAUCGGUCUGCUUGUGGGAAGUGAUCAGAGAGUGCCUUUGCAUCACUUGGCUUCAUUCUGUACAGCCACACUCAGAAUCCAUGAGAGUCCUGCACCAACUCUGGGACUCCUGACUAACAGUAGGAUUUGGGGUUCUAUGGUUGUAUGAGCUUUUCAGGGCUAUUCGAAAGCAAAAACCAUGGGAAAGGUUUUUGUUGGUUUUAUUUGUUUGUUUCUUGUUGAUGUUUGGUUGGUUUUGCUUUUUUAUUUAAUUAUGUUUGUUUUUCUGAGAGUGGAGGAACUGAAGUUUUAAGGAGUGAAAUUCAUACACCGAGUUUCUAUUAAUGAGCUUCAGUUAACAGAUCCAUGCUUACCCCAAAGUCUAUUCAUUGUUACCAUUGCAAAACUCAUUAUUCAUAUUUCAGUUCUUGUGUCUAUAAAGCAGGAAAAACAGACAUCCCUAAUAGGACUAUGGGAAAUCUAGUUGAUGACCUUGGAGAGAAAGCUCAAAGCUCUAAGUAUUAACCACUAUUUUAUUGUUAUUACUUAAUUAAGCCAAAAUGAUCGUUGCAAGCACAAGCAGGACUUUCUUCAUAUAACCUACUAAGUCCUUCACUUACAAUGGAUUCUUUGGUAUAAGGCAGAGCCGUAGGAACCCUGAGUUAAAUAUGCUUGCUAUAGAAGCAAGCAUACUUGACACAGAAAUUAUUGUGAUAGCUGUGGUAACAUAAACUGUAACAGUAGACUAGUAUCAAGCUACCAAACUAUUCAGAUGGGAGGUCAUGAAUAUUGCAUGUAUUGAACUGGAUACUUGUGGAAAAGAGAAAUUAAUGUAAAUAAUUAUUUUCAAGGGGUGAUCAUUGUGCCAGCUACAUUAAGCAUUCUUUGUGGUGCUGAGCCCAUUCGGUCUGUUUAAUUUUGUUGUGCUGCUUUUGGCUCGGGUCAUUCCCAUUCAAGUUGUGCUGUCAGGAAGUGGCAGAAAUGAAGCUCUGGCUCCUUUGGGUCCACGUCCCCCUUUUUGUCCCUUCCCUGUGCCACAGCUCGGGCCCUCUGUCCAUCAUCCGUCUGCCCUUCCUCCAGUGUCCCAGCUCCCUCCUCCCCAUGCCAGCUGCCAGCUGGGUGACACCAGCGGGAAGUGGUUGCUUUUGAGCUGGGCAUGUAGUAGCUGGCAGAAAACUAAGUAGAAUAAACAACCUCUGAGCUCAGGCAGCAGCCUUUCAGUCACUGUAAGAAUCUGAAGGAAAUGAUCUCUCCUUUACUGAGCUGUUAACAUUUCACAAAACCUGAAAAAAAUUCAGAGCCCAUCGUUUUCUGUUUCUGCAUCAAACGUAACUGAUAUAAACUCGUGGGCUCAAAAGUUAUUAAAGAUGGUCUGGCAAGAUUGGUAAGCAAACAGUAUUACCACCUAAACCCUGUUUCCUUAAGUCCUCGAGAAAUACCGUUUGAUGUUAUGAUAACAUAACAAACAAUAAGAUUUGAAGGCAGAUCUUAAGGGAGAUCGCCAAAACCAUUUAGUGGUGUCACAGCUGCAAAACUAUCAUUGCUUUGAUUUAUCAGGAUUAGCACAUAAUUUAGAAGGGACCAGGAUGACGUAUCACGAGCCAGAACUUGAGUCUUAAUUAAAUGCCUCUGCUCCAGCAGUCAGACAGCAUUUCCCAAACAUAUAAAAUUGUAUUUUGUUGUCAAAACUUGAGACUUCUUGUUUGGGAAUAGAAAAAGUUAACCAAAGGUCGGUACUGUACAGCCCUAAUGAAUGAGAGAUUUUCAUUGCCUUUAGAGCUUCCUGCCUAUGAAAGGUGGUUCGCUUGAAUAUCCACAGAUGAGAAUCACAUGUCACGUAUGGGUGUAUUUUCUGCCUUUAUUAAGUGCAUUCUUCUUCCACAUUGCCAACAUCCCGGACUUUAUCUGACUUAAGUGCAGGUACAGAAAGAUCCAGUUCUGGCACAGAGCAGCUAACAGAUGGUACCUGUUCUAAAGUAUGGCAAAAUUGAAUGCUUUCUUUCAUAACAUUUUUUCCCAUGGUAUCACUUAAAAAUUGAUACCACAUGUCAUCCUUAGCCCUCCCAGAACACGUUAAAAAUGAGGGGUAAAAAAGCCAAGCAUCGAAUUCACCUUGAUAUGACUUUGAUGGAAUUAAGACAAAGAGAUGAGCUGAACUCAGUGGCAUUACAAAUCAAUUUAUUUCUCUCUGUCAGUAAUUCAGUUUUCAUUGAAAGUGUGCCAGGUCACUGACAUGGUAGAUGAAGCAAUCUGUUGUCAAAAAGUUGUCUAAGAGGAAGUUAAUGUCUGAAAGCAGUGUGGUGGUUAUAUCAAUUAUGGACAAACUGGAAACAGAGGAGUAAAUUUGAUAAAGUACUGAUGAGCAAACAAUAUGCAGUGAGUGUAGCUUGCACUGAUCAGGGAACUGCGCACAUAAUACACUUGCACAGAGAAAUGAGGUAAUAGACAAGUUCUGCACAUCUACAUGAAAACAUAGAUGAAAGAUGGAGGAAAGCCCCAGAGCAUGGGGAAUUUCAUUUCGCAGUUCAAUCUGGUCAUGCAUAAAGUAGAUAUAAGUGCUGUGCUGUGACUGCUGCAGAGCUUUCAGUAGAUCCCGUAAAAUCCCCUCCAGAAACUCCUUCCUACAUACAGAAGCUAUAUGGAAUGAAUUCAAGUGAUAUUAACUAAACAAGUUCAAUUUUUGUGUGUGUGUAGUUCCUUUCCUACUGACUUAAAACUGUUUUCAUCUGUUUAUUUUAUGACUAUACCUUUAGGCCAUAGGCACAAAUUAAGGUAGUUAAAAGUUAUUCCAUUCAGAGAUGUUACUGCUCCCUAACUCAUCAUUGACCUUCUGCAAAAGGCCACUUACCCCUCAGCUCUGCCAGCCUGCUCCAAAACGUGCCAGUUGGUGUCACCAAGGCCAGCAAGCAGCUUCCAAUGAAGUAGCCAAGGGGGCAAGCCAAGGGGCUCUGACACAACACCUGCCACGGUCACCUGCUGCCAGGGGAUGGCAAGCUGCAGGGUGUGUGAUGUCUUCAUCUGCUCCAUCCGUGUUGGGAGCAGCAACCUACUGCCCUGCUGACAGCUAAACCAGUACAAACAGAUCUAAACCACGCUAAAACCUUGUCUACACACAGCUUUGUGCGUACAUUGCUACACCCGUUUGGAAAUCAAUACAGCUGACCAGGUAAACUCUUCCUGCAAACUUACUUAUGGCACUCUGAAGUUGUUUUUCUACUGAUGUGAUAUUCCUAUAAAUGUGGCUCUAAUACAAUGUUAUUUUAUCAUAUUCUAUAUCAGGACGUCACGUUGCAUUCUAAGCCAAUGUGGAAGCACAAAAGAGGAUGAGUACCUUACCUUUAUCUACAUCUUUUGUUUAUCUUAUAAGACAUUUUUAGUUUAAUCUCAUCUUAAGUUAUACAUAAUGCAAACCAGUACCACCUGUAAGUAGUUCUAGGAGGCCUUUGUUACCCAAACGCAGUGAAAGGAAGAGCAGGAAAGCUGCAGAGCCCCACAGCUGGGAAGGGGAUGCACAUCCCCUGCUGCCCUGUGCCAAGUGGCACACAGCACACUGAACUGAGGGGUGCUGAGAGCCCCCGGGAUGUCUGAGUCUCUCAAGUGCCCUGUGAUGGCACUGAGCAGACACAACUUGAAACCAAGCAAACCAAGCAGGAAAAAAAAAAGGAUCCAUGUACCAUCUGCGCAGUUCUGUAUGGUAGUAGGGGUCAGCUCUUCCCUUUUGGCGUCUAUGAAUCAUGGAGCCUUGGGAGCUUCCUGCAGAAGGGAACAAGCUGCAGAGCUCUACACACACAGCAAGCCUGGGGAAACCAUACUUAAAGCCAAGCAAUGUUUAUUCAAGCCCUUGGCAGAGCCCGUGGCCACGUGGUAGGCGAGUAAUAUCGUUCUGCAACUCAAGUUUAGCAGAGUAUGAGAACUGCUCAACAGCUUUUGCAAGGGCUGUCAGAGACUUCGGGAAUGGCUUGAUACUGGGCUAAAGCUCCACCUAGGCACUCCACACGCCUUAGGAAUUCCAACAAUUUGCAGCUCUCUGAUCCCGGUAGGAGGUUCUUUCUUUGUAAUCUCCUAACAAAUCAAACACAAUCAUUUUAUUCUGCAUGAAAAUAGCAAACUCGGGUAUCUUUCUGAGUCAGAGGAUUUAAAGUUCAAGUCAUUCUGAAAGCCUCGCUCUAAUUAAGAGAAGAAAGAAAGAGCCUGCUUGGCACCCAGCAAAUGCACGCAAGAAGCUUAAUUUCUUGAUUUAAAUAAUAUAGAUGCAGCAUUAUUUUUUUAGGUAAGACAUAAGAAAGAUCAAACACAAAGAUAGAAAUCUAUCUGCUUUUUCUAGCCAAGGUUCAGUUUACAAGAAAAAAAAAAAAAAAAGCAUGUUGGCAGAUGGGUACCAAAAGCAGUGGCACGAGCUGAUAUCCUGCUAACACUGGCAGAGUGUGUGAGGGUAUCCCAGAGGAGAGACAAAGUCUGGGGCUGCACACUGACGGCCACCACAGUUACUUAAUAUAGGAUUGCUUUGUCCAUGCUGGAGUUAAUGGGAUUGCCACUGCCCUUUCCUGUUUUUCCUUUAGAACAACCUUGCAUAACAGAGAAGUUUGAUAGGAAGCAUACACGUCUUCCCAGCUCAGAAAUCAGAAACGCGAGAGGGGGACUCUGAAGACAGACAGCCCCUAAGCAAAGAACCAGCACUGAUCAGUUUCAAGGCAAAACAAAGUGUGACAUACCCCGUGCCUCGGAAGAGGUUUGACAAAACUUCUCUGUACUUUCCACGCAGCAGCACAGCUGGAGCUGGGCGCACAGGGUUGGCGCACUGCAGGAGAUGGCACUGCCCAUGAAGCGCUACACAGAGAACAGCCCGCACCACCCUGCUUGUUGAUAGAGAACCAGGGAGUGGUGCAUCCCUUUGUUCCAAACAGAUGACUUCAGCUCCGGGCACGGGAUGCUUGGCACAUCUCUCACCGCCCUGACUUCCCACAGAUAACAUGUGGCCUGCGCGAUACCAGCCCCUGCACCGUCUCUUGAACAGAAGUGGAUGCCUAUCUGCCACUGCUGCUGCGUUUGUACAGAAAAGCAGGAACUCUCUUGUCCAAGGAGUGUCCCCGAGAGAUAUAAAUACUCUGCAGGUGUUUGCAUAGUCUUACAGUACGUGCGCACUGAGAUGGUACGGAUAGAUACGAGCCCCAGAAGAGCUGAACAAACCCCAUGUUCAGAGAGAUCAAUUGAUACAAAAGCUUUGCUAUCCCUCAAAAUAAGUCCUGAUGGAGACAGGGUUUGGCAGGAAGAUAAUCUGCCAUUCAGCUGAUAGACAUAAGGUGUAUGGGAGUCAGCUGUGACUUCCAGAAAUUUAGCAUGAAAUCGAUGCCGGUGUUUUCCAUUCUGUGCACUUGUGUCAUUUAAAGAAAAUCAAUAUAUCUACAGAUUGCCUCACAUAUAGCAGCACUAUAAGGAACCAGGUGUUGGAAACAAAAUGUUAAGCCACCCAAAGCCGCUGCAGUUAAUCAUAUUUAACACCUGACUAAACCGGGCUCACCCAGAGCUUUGGGGAGGGUUGGGAACAACCACUGUUGACCGAGUAAUUCUGCUGUACUACCUGAGUGCCUGUCAAUACCUGCAGCUUCUACUAAAGCUGUAUGGAACUGUAAAAGCUAAGGGCCCGGUACAAGUACAGGACAUUUUGUGCUUUCCAUUUCUCUGUUCAAUCACUGAUACAGCAUAUCUUAGGAGGGACUACUGUUACUUUUUUCUACGACCCUCAGACAGACUGACUAUCGAUCAUAAAGCUAUUUACUUUUAAUGAAUAGAUCAUUAUGAAUAUCAUACGAGAGAAAAUUGCAGAGAUUAUGCUCUGCUGGUCAACCUCCAUAGCGACGCCAUAGCACUGAGUUGCUUUGUGUUUAUUCCCUUUACAAUGAAAGUGCACAUACAGUUUGCUUCAAACUGAUGAAGAAAACUUCAGCUUCUGUGUUGCCUGAAUAACAUAACCUACCUGAACAACUCUCACCUGAAGAGGUACAAGAAAAGCUCUGAAGAGCUACAUCAAGAGCAGCGCUAAGGCAGGGCAGGCACCAGUGUGGGAGUGCUUUGAAACAGAGUGGGACUACGGGAAGAUUCCUGGAGAGACAAGAUGAGGACAGCAACAAAGGAGAAAGGAACUUGAGGAUCUCCUGUAUCAUUUUACUUUAAUGCUUGAACUUGACUUUUUUCUCUCAGAAGGACUGCCUUUACUUUUUCUGUGGCUUAGCAUAACAGAAACAGACUGUUAAUAAUAAUAGCUGGCUUCUCUUUGGCUUUCAGUCAAGGGAAAGUAUCUGAUUAUAUCAGAAAAACUUGUCCUUUGUAUCCUCCUGGAUCCUUACUGAUCCCUUCCCAUACCCGAGUUCUCCAAAUUUUCUGAUUUUCACACGGUGCAGGUAUGCCCUUGGGUACCUGUGCCUUUUGUCACUGCACUAACACUGACUCCACUGUUCCAGUACUCAUCGUCCUAAGACUUCUCGGGCAGUCCCUGGCAAUUUAACACCCAUCCCUGCAGCAAUACCACUACCCAGAGCAAGCUGUCUGGAAGGAAACAGACCCUCUGUCUGAUAUCUGGAAGACUUUCAUGAAGGAAAAAUUGUUAAAAGAAUUUCCAAAAUCUUCCUCCUUCCUGUUACCGAGUAAAAUGUAACCAUCUCCCUUUUGACAGAUGGUCCUAGAAAAACAUGGCCUCCGUAAUUGCUUAAAGGUUGACACAGACCAAGGGGAAAGAUGAGUUAAAUGGGAUGAUGUGCAUCCAGAGCUUCUUUAUCCCACAGGGAAUGCUGAGAAGCCUGCACAGCAGAGGGACAACAGCGUGGGGAGAUCACAGACAACGUCACGUUGCUGAAAAACAACAUGCUUCUAGAAAAAAAACAGAAAGGCAAGUAGGUGCAUCUGUUAUCAAUCAGCCCUCAACAACUUUAGGAGUCAUGGAGCAAAAGAAGCAAGCCUUCCCUCAGGCUCAAAUUCCUCCUUGGAAUUUCUCAGAUUUUCUUGUCUGCAGAGCUGUGUUUCCUCCUCCACCCUGCAAACAGCAGCUACUGCCACUGCACUGAGUGCACAUACACUCAUGUUAAAAACAAUCCAAACCCAGAAGUUUCCUUAAGUGUAAAAAUAGGUUUGCUUUUUAAUUCCAGUGCUGAUCAAAUAGCAAAAGUUUCUGUAAAAACCACAUCAUUUAGAGUAUGUACAGGACUCGUGUCAUUAGGUCACUGCAUUCUGCUCCCUCCUCACUCCCAGCUGCACCAGGUACCCAUAUAACCCUGACUCCCACUCCAGGCAGCCAGCUUGGGGGAGCACAUAUUACAGACUGCAGUUUUUAGUGGAUAUUCAGUCUCAGAACCAGAAUAGAAACAGUCCUAAAGUAAGGAACCCUGAAAUUCACACGGUCUGGAUACUGGGUCACCAGAACCAGCUAUUUUACUCUGCUCAUCCAUUCCCACAGACACACAUUAUGGUCAUGUGUAUAACCACAAGUGGAGGACCUCCAGCGGUGCCCUAUGUCAGUGCUGUGUGUUGUCCUCUUUGCUUCCCAGGUAUGUUCUUGUGCUCCUGGAUAUUCCCAAACCGACCUUCAGUCUACAGACUCUGACCUCAAACUGAGGAGAAUUCAGUAAUGAGUGUAGUUAAUUUGAAACUGCCUAUUUUUUCUUAAGUCAAUAAUGGGAAAACCAACUGUCAGCAGAACCCUCCUGAGAACACAGUCCUACAGGGAUCUAAUGUUUCCCUCAACAAAACAAUGCUAUAGCAACUAGCCUGAUGCGUGCCUGCUCAAGCUGCCAACCUACUGCCACGCUUUCCCCAGUGCUUAAAGCAGCCUUCAUACAAACUGAACUACAAGUAUGCAGCAGUUACAGCAGCAUGCUUACCUCACUGAGAAUAGGCUUAAUAGGAUGUGUUGCUUUUCCAGUUUUAGGUAAGCCAUCCAAAGUCCCCUCGCAUUUGCUGAAACAAGUGUUGAAUCUCUCUUUUUUGGUUCCUGAAUUUGGGAAAGGAAGGCUAAGAUCUACAGUCUGUGCUUCAAUAAGAAAAUGGGCAAAGAAAAACGUUUCCUUUAAGUAUUGUAUGUCUCGCUUGAUCAGUCAGGAGUUUACACUGUGGACAGAUAUACCUAUCUGUACUCAGAGGAUGCAAACUCAGGAUGUGUCCCAUCUAUUUCCCUACCACAGUCUCAGCAUUCUCUGCUUCAGAUUCCUCCAUUCCUCAGGCACCACCCUGAUUCAUAAUCUCAGGAAAGGAGAUAAUAAUGAUCUUGCAGACCUGCAUGAUGACUGACUUUGCUGUGGAUUUUCCAGCCCAAUUGAUUGCCCACCUUCUGGCAGUUCAGUUCUCUGCUCACCCUUCCCAGACUGGCCACAGAGUUUCAGCACCUCCCUUAUGCCCACUCACCCAUGUUUUUAACUUUUGGUGAGCCCUUCACAAGAAGCUACCAAAGUCUCCAGCA
This is a long non-coding RNA of Gallus gallus (chicken), 13797 nucleotides long. RefSeq lists it as uncharacterized. Lineage: Eukaryota; Metazoa; Chordata; Aves; Galliformes; Phasianidae. The transcript is spliced from 3 exons. The record is from RefSeq and is a predicted model, not a curated record.